This is a non-coding RNA of Penaeus vannamei (Pacific white shrimp), 245 nucleotides long. Lineage: Eukaryota; Metazoa; Arthropoda; Malacostraca; Decapoda; Penaeidae. The record is from RefSeq and is a predicted model, not a curated record.
UGAUAAGUGGUGUGAAAAUGGGUCGAAGGAAGUGAAGUGAUGGAGUGAAGUGGAGAGACGACUUUGAAAUGUGGAGAGUCACUGGAGUUCUUUGUAUGAGAGAGAAGGAGUGCCAGUGAGGAGGUGCCAUCGAACUGCCACAUCAUCUGAAGCCAUUAUUGUGCCAGCGAAUUUCUUUGCCACGACAUUUUGUUCAAGGACUGUUUGUGAUGCUUUUGUUAUAUGAAUAAAGAGUCUAAAAUAAA